UCUUCACUUCGCGCACUCUCUCACCGGUCAGAGGAGCGAGAGAGUGCGUGAAACGAAGAGA
Non-coding RNA from Pristionchus pacificus, 61 nucleotides. The record is from Rfam. NCBI's taxonomy places the organism in Eukaryota, Metazoa, Nematoda, Chromadorea, Rhabditida, Neodiplogasteridae.